Molecule: ribosomal RNA, 827 nt
Filed under: uncultured Myxotrichaceae
Lineage: Eukaryota; Fungi; Ascomycota; Leotiomycetes; Myxotrichaceae
Description: eukaryotic LSU rRNA
Rfam family: Eukaryotic large subunit ribosomal RNA (bases 251-827)
Source: RNAcentral
GAAAUGCGAUAGUAAUGCGAAUUGCAGAAUUCAGUGAGUCAUCGAAUCUUUGAACGCACAUUGCGCCCUGUGGUAUUCCGCAGGGCAUGCCUGUUCGAGCGUCAUUUCAACCCUCAAGCUCUGCUUGGUGUUGGGCCCCGCCCGSUCGCGGCCGGCCCUAAAGACAGUGGCGGCAGCGCCUGGCUCCAAGCGUAGUACAGCUCUCGCUCUGGGGCUAGGCGGUAGCCUGCCAGAACCCCCCUUCUAUGGUUGACCUCGGAUCAGGUAGGGAUACCCGCUGAACUUAAGCAUAUCAAUAAGCGGAGGAAAAGAAACCAACAGGGAUUGCCUCAGUAACGGCGAGUGAAGCGGCAACAGCUCAAAUUUGAAAUCUGGCCCUCUCAGGGUCCGAGUUGUAAUUUGGAGAAGAUGCUUCGGGUGCGGCGCCGGUCUAAGUUCCUUGGAACAGGACGUCACAGAGGGUGAGAAUCCCGUACGUGCCCGGUGGCCGCCCUAUGUGAAGCUCUUUCGACGAGUCGAGUUGUUUGGGAAUGCAGCUCAAAUGGGUGGUAAAUUUCAUCUAAAGCUAAAUACUGGCCAGAGACCGAUAGCGCACAAGUAGAGUGAUCGAAAGAUGAAAAGCACUUUGGAAAGAGAGUUAAACAGUACGUGAAAUUGUUGAAAGGGAAGCGCUUGCAACCAGACUUGCGCGCGGUCGAUCAUCCGGUGCUCGCAACCGGUGCACUCGGCCGCGCGCAGGCCAGCAUCGGCCCGGGUGGCUGGACAAAGGCCUCGGGAAUGUGGCUCCCUCCGGGGAGUGUUAUAGACCCGAGGCGCAAUGCAGCCCA